Pocillopora damicornis (cauliflower coral) is the source of this 896-nucleotide long non-coding RNA. The record is from RefSeq and is a predicted model, not a curated record. NCBI's taxonomy places the organism in Eukaryota, Metazoa, Cnidaria, Anthozoa, Scleractinia, Pocilloporidae.
UUUACAGGGCAUUUAAUCUGACAGAAUUUUGAAUCAAAUGAUAGAUAGCUGUCAAUCGAAUGAUGCCAGUAAUCCCAUAAAGAAAAAAAAUUAGGCAAGUCUUAAUUGUGAGCAUUAAUCACUGAGGUUGUCAUCAUUUAAAAGAAAUUAAAAAACAUGAUUUUCGUUUUAAUAUUCAUCAUUGAGAAGCCGUCGCUACCUAGUCAGCCAUAAAAACCCCGCUUCUUCGAGAGAAGUCGAGGUCUGUCUUAUUAUAGAACGUAUAAGAAGGGAAGAACAACUCACCAUUUACAUCUAUUGAUAUCAAAGACAAGGAUGUUUCCAAAUCGGACAACAGUCAGAUCGCUUGCCCGAUCGUGGUUCUGCGUUACUGAUUACCCGGUGAACUGCAACGGGACCUGAGAAAUUCAAGGGAAAAAAAGCUUGGCGCUGCCUCCUAUAGGAUACGAAACCAUAUGUUGGAGAUCACCAACGAGAGACCGUCAAACAGCAACAAAAAGCGUUAGAGUGCAAGAAAACUUACGACUUUCAUUUAAUAAAUUUACAACAAAGAACUCUGAUUCCCGUAGAAAUUCACAGUUACAAUCCCAAAUGCAUUCAAGCUUUGUUACCUUUUUUGUUUGAUUCAGCGAAUUCAUGGAAGAAUGAAUAAUAAGAUAUGACCUCAAUCUUCUCCACGCAUAAAUUGGGCAACAAAGAUUUCACGCCAGUAGAGAAGACGUAGUUCGAUGGUGAGGAUGUUUUUGCGAUUAUUUAUGGAGCACCUAGUUGCAGUCCUCUUUAGCAUAAGUUUUUUUAGCGAGGGAAUCGUAUUUUAGAUCCUUUCAUGGAAAAUCCUCCAAAAAAAAAUUAUAAUGAUGACAACAAUAAUUAAAAUCUUAACGCCACCGUCGUAA